GAGACAGCAGCAGCCGCGGUAAUACAGAGGGUGCAAGCGUUAAUCGGAAUUACUGGGCGUAAAGCGCGCGUAGGUGGUUUGUUAAGUUGGAUGUGAAAUCCCCGGGCUCAACCUGGGAACUGCAUCCAAAACUGGCAAGCUAGAGUAUGGUAGAGGGUGGUGGAAUUUCCUGUGUAGCGGUGAAAUGCGUAGAUAUAGGAAGGAACACCAGUGGCGAAGGCGACCACCUGGACUGAUACUGACACUGAGGUGCGAAAGCGUGGGGAGCAAACAGGAUUAGAUACCCCCGUAGUCCCUGUCUCUUAUAC
Molecule: ribosomal RNA, 308 nt
Filed under: uncultured bacterium
Lineage: Bacteria
Description: partial 16S ribosomal RNA
Rfam family: Bacterial small subunit ribosomal RNA
Source: RNAcentral